CGUAGGGGCAAGCGUUAUCCGGAUUCAUUGGGCGUAAAGCGCGCGUAGGCGGUCUGUUAGGUCAGGAGUUAAUCUGGGGCUCAACCCCUAUCCGCUCCUGAUACCGGCAGGCUUGAGUCUGGUAGGGAAGAUGGAAUUCCAAGUGUAGCGGUGAAAUGCGCAGAUAUUGGAAGAACACCGGUGCGAAGGCGGUCUCUGGGCCAUGACUGACGCUGAGGCGCGAAAAGCUAGGGGAGCGAACAGGAUU
RNAcentral lists this ribosomal RNA (247 nucleotides) under uncultured bacterium. RNAcentral describes it as "partial 16S ribosomal RNA". It matches the Rfam family "Bacterial small subunit ribosomal RNA", at positions 526 to 779 of the family's 1533-position model. The record is from RNAcentral.